This 233-nucleotide ribosomal RNA is filed under the name uncultured Anaerolineaceae bacterium. Its description in RNAcentral is "partial 16S ribosomal RNA". It matches the Rfam family "Bacterial small subunit ribosomal RNA", at positions 1151 to 1382 of the family's 1533-position model. The record is from RNAcentral. Lineage: Bacteria; Bacillati; Chloroflexota; Anaerolineae; Anaerolineales; Anaerolineaceae.
GCCGGUAAAAGCCGGAGGAAGGUGAGGAUGAUGUCAAGUCAGCAUGACCUUUAUAUCCAGGGCUACACACACGCUACAAUGGUCUGUACAAUGGGUAGCCAAGCCGCGAGGCGGAGCCAAUCCUGAAAAGCCAGGCCUCAGUUCAGAUUGCAGUCUGCAACUCGACUGCAUGAAGCCGGAGUUGCUAGUAACCGCAGGUCAGCAAUACUGCGGUGAAUACGUUCCCGGGUCUU